GUCCGUGGCUCAGCCUGGUAGAGCGGCAGACUUGUAAUCUGCAUGUCCUGGGUUCAAAUCCCAGCGGGGGCU
This 72-nucleotide transfer RNA is filed under the name Candidatus Altarchaeales archaeon. Its description in RNAcentral is "tRNA-Thr". It matches the Rfam family "tRNA", at positions 5 to 66 of the family's 71-position model. Rfam says of the family: Transfer RNA (tRNA) molecules are approximately 80 nucleotides in length. Their secondary structure includes four short double-helical elements and three loops (D, anti-codon, and T loops). Further hydrogen bonds mediate the characteristic L-shaped molecular structure. tRNAs have two regions of fundamental functional importance: the anti-codon, which is responsible for specific mRNA codon recognition, and the 3' end, to which the tRNAs corresponding amino acid is attached (by aminoacyl-tRNA synthetases). tRNAs cope with the degeneracy of the genetic code in two manners: having more than one tRNA (with a specific anti-codon) for a particular amino acid; and 'wobble' base-pairing, i.e. permitting non-standard base-pairing at the 3rd anti-codon position. Lineage: Archaea; Nanobdellati; Candidatus Altarchaeota; Candidatus Altarchaeia; Candidatus Altarchaeales. RNAcentral also lists the same sequence under 1 other name. The record is from RNAcentral.